UGGGUACAGAGUUUCUGUGCAGGAUGACGAAAAGUUUUGGACACAGUGGUGGUGAUUGCACAACACUGUGGAUAUAAUUAAUGCCCCUGAAUAGAACACUUAAAAAUGCUUAAAAUGGCAAAUUUUGUUAUACAUAUUUUGCCACAAUAAGAAAAUAUAUAAACGGAGAGAGAGCGUGCGCCAGGGUGCAUUCACCAAUGUGAAUUUCUAGGGCAGGAACCUUGCCUGAUCUGACUGUGUAUCCUCUGAGCCCAGCACACAGGAAACGCAGCUAAGAAGGACCUUGAGGUUGGGUCUUGAAAAACAGAGAUGAGAGAGGCAGUGGCACGUAAGUACAUCUAAUCUUUCUAUUUUAUUAUCCUGGAACUUAGGUACUGUGCUGAUUAGGUCCCUUUUUGCUCUCGAAAUUGUCCCCUUCUGGGUGGUAGGGGUGGAGAGAAGGAUUGGCCGCAGCUCGGUGAAGUGUCUGUCGUCUGGUGACAAGCUUCGGACAAGCCUGGAGGAUACAGGGCAUGUUUUUUCUGAAAAAAAGAAAACAACAACAACAACAACAACAACAACAAAAACAACCAAACCCAAAAAACAAGGAAGUACUCCUCCCUGUGUCCUUCAAAGCGCUGUGGCAUCUUCAGAUCUGGGUACUUGAAAGCUAAAGCUGGUCAUAAUUUCCGAUGGACAUAAUGUGCAUUUGAAAUUCUUUUCCACAUCAAAUUAAAUCUGUCUUGGACUGAU
This is a long non-coding RNA of Leopardus geoffroyi (Geoffroy's cat), 732 nucleotides long. RefSeq lists it as uncharacterized. The record is from RefSeq and is a predicted model, not a curated record. The transcript is spliced from 2 exons. NCBI's taxonomy places the organism in Eukaryota, Metazoa, Chordata, Mammalia, Carnivora, Felidae.